GGGGUUGUGGCUCAGUGGUAGAGCACUUGCCUAGCAUGUGUGAGGUACUGGGUUCGAUUCUUAGCAAUGCCU
This 72-nucleotide transfer RNA is filed under the name Ictidomys tridecemlineatus (thirteen-lined ground squirrel). RNAcentral describes it as "Spermophilus tridecemlineatus (thirteen-lined ground squirrel) tRNA". It matches the Rfam family "tRNA". From Rfam's summary of the family: Transfer RNA (tRNA) molecules are approximately 80 nucleotides in length. Their secondary structure includes four short double-helical elements and three loops (D, anti-codon, and T loops). Further hydrogen bonds mediate the characteristic L-shaped molecular structure. tRNAs have two regions of fundamental functional importance: the anti-codon, which is responsible for specific mRNA codon recognition, and the 3' end, to which the tRNAs corresponding amino acid is attached (by aminoacyl-tRNA synthetases). tRNAs cope with the degeneracy of the genetic code in two manners: having more than one tRNA (with a specific anti-codon) for a particular amino acid; and 'wobble' base-pairing, i.e. permitting non-standard base-pairing at the 3rd anti-codon position. Lineage: Eukaryota; Metazoa; Chordata; Mammalia; Rodentia; Sciuridae. The record is from Rfam by way of RNAcentral.